This is a long non-coding RNA of Ostrea edulis (European flat oyster), 1151 nucleotides long. RefSeq lists it as uncharacterized. The transcript has 2 exons. The record is from RefSeq and is a predicted model, not a curated record. Lineage: Eukaryota; Metazoa; Mollusca; Bivalvia; Ostreida; Ostreidae.
AGGUUGAAUAUAGGGUUAAAUCAGUAUAAAUUUGAUUAACAUUCAAAUAAAUCCAGAUCAUACAUUCACAAUUGGAAUCAUGGCAUUAUGGUACACUGAUAUGUGUGUACCAUUUUACUGUUUUUUUGUUUGUGUUUUUUUUUUUUUGUUGUUGUUGCAUAACUAGGGAUCGUAUACAUACAAAAUGAGACAAAACAAUUUCUAAUUAGUUUCUAAUUAUAAGGUAUGACACGUUUUAAGGUAUGGUGGCCAAUACUGAUUUUAUUUGCAAUUUUCUUUCAGAUAUGGGACCCUAUUAUUCGGAGAACUGCAGAUUUUAUGAAGCUGUCUUUGACAGAAGAUUUGGUUUUCUCCAUCUGUGUUGCCACCAACCAUUAUGCUGAGAUGGUCAUAUCUAGGUGGAAGGGUUGCCAUAUACUUCCCAAGGAAGUUUGCAGCCUCUCACUGAAGAGGAACUGUACAGAUUUUUGUGCAUUAUCUUAUACACGCCUGCUGUGAAGUUCCAGUCGAUAGACAGAUAUUGGUCAACGCAUGCCCAUGUCGGAACAACUCAUUAUCAAGAAUUAUGUCUAGAAAUAGGUUUCAAGAGGUUGAAUAUAAGAACAUUUUUGUUAAAUAUGAUGCAAGUACAUUUAAAUAUAGUGAUUGAAAGUAAGUACUUGAACAUUCGUAUAUGUUGAACUUGGAGAGGAAAAAUGGUUAGUACUUUUUGAUAACAUUUGAUAAGGUGUUGUUGCUUAGCAACCAAAUAUAAUUGAAUAAAAAAAUAGAUUAUUUUUAGAUUAACAAUAAUUGAAAGAUCUUUGUUUUAAUGUUGCAAUACUUAUUCUAUUUAAUGGAACAUAAUGGCAAAACGUCAUAUUAUUAGAAAAUGAUGGACAAGUAUAUAAAGUACGAAGUUUCCAUUUGAUGACCUUUGACCUUAAUUCUCUUCAUCAUAUUUUUUGUUAAAAACCUUUUAAAAUGAUUAAGAUCUAUUUAAAGAUUAUAUUUUUAAAAUAAUGUGACAUUUACUAGUCAUCAUGGAUUGUAAUUACGUUUAAAUUGUGUCGAAUGGAUGCAGAAAGGCAAAUUAUGGUCAAAAUUGUACUAUGAGUGUUGUUACUUAGCAACCAAAAAUAAUUGUUUGUCAAUAAAAUUGAUUAGUUUGA